UCUCUUAAAGCCGUUCUCAGUUCGGAUUGUAGGCUGCAACUCGCCUACAUGAAGUCGGAAUCGCUAGUAAUCGCGGAUCAGCAUGCCGCGGUGAAUACGUUCCCGGGCCUUGUACACACCGCCCGUCACACCAUGGGAGCCGGAAAUGCCCGAAGCCAGUGACCCAACCUUAGGGAGGGAGCUGUCGAAGGUGGAGCCGGUAACUGGGGUGAAGUCGUAACAAGGUACC
RNAcentral lists this ribosomal RNA (229 nucleotides) under uncultured bacterium. RNAcentral's name for it is "partial 16S ribosomal RNA". It matches the Rfam family "Bacterial small subunit ribosomal RNA", at positions 1272 to 1500 of the family's 1533-position model. The record is from RNAcentral.